CGAGGAGCUUGCUCCUCUGACGUUAGCGGCGGACGGGUGAGUAACACGUGGAUAACCUACCUAUAAGACUGGGAUAACUUCGGGAAACCGGAGCUAAUACCGGAUAAUAUAUUGAACCGCAUGGUUCAAUAGUGAAAGACGGUUUUGCUGUCACUUAUAGAUGGAUCCGCGCCGCAUUAGCUAGUUGGUAAGGUAACGGCUUACCAAGGCAACGAUGCGUAGCCGACCUGAGAGGGUGAUCGGCCACACUGGAACUGAGACACGGUCCAGACUCCUACGGGAGGCAGCAGUAGGGAAUCUUCCGCAAUGGGCGAAAGCCUGACGGAGCAACGCCGCGUGAGUGAUGAAGGUCUUCGGAUCGUAAAACUCUGUUAUUAGGGAAGAACAAAUGUGUAAGUAACUAUGCACGUCUUGACGGUACCUAAUCAGAAAGCCACGGCUAACUACGUGCCAGCAGCCGCGGUAAUACGUAGGUGGCAAGCGUUAUCCGGAAUUAUUGGGCGUAAAGCGCGCGUAGGCGGUUUUUUAAGUCUGAUGUGAAAGCCCACGGCUCAACCGUGGAGGGUCAUUGGAAACUGGAAAACUUGAGUGCAGAAGAGGAGAGUGGAAUUCCAUGUGUAGCGGUGAAAUGCGCAGAGAUAUGGAGGAACACCAGUGGCGAAGGCGACUUUCUGGUCUGUAACUGACGCUGAUGUGCGAAAGCGUGGGGAUCACACAGGAUUAGAUACCCUGGUAGUCCACGCCGUACACGAUGAGUGCUAAGUGUUAGGUGGUCUCCGCCCCUUAGUGCUGCAGCUAACGCAUUAAGCACUCCGCCUGGCGAGUACGACCGCGAGGUUGAAACUCAAAGGAAUUGACGGGGACCCGCACAAGCGGU
Molecule: ribosomal RNA, 877 nt
Filed under: Staphylococcus epidermidis
Lineage: Bacteria; Bacillati; Bacillota; Bacilli; Caryophanales; Staphylococcaceae
Description: bacterial SSU rRNA
Rfam family: Bacterial small subunit ribosomal RNA
Source: RNAcentral